GACGAACGCUGGCGGCGUGCUUAACACAUGCAAGUCGAACGGAAAGGCCCUGCUUUUGUGGGGUGCUCGAGUGGCGAACGGGUGAGUAACACGUGAGUAACCUGCCCUUGACUUUGGGAUAACUUCAGGAAACUGGGGCUAAUACCGGAUAGGAGCUCCUGCUGCAUGGUGGGGGUUGGAAAGUUUCGGCGGUUGGGGAUGGACUCGCGGCUUAUCAGCUUGUUGGUGGGGUAGUGGCUUACCAAGGCUUUGACGGGUAGCCGGCCUGAGAGGGUGACCGGCCACAUUAGGACUGAGAUAGGCACCAGACUGCUACGGGAGGCAGCGGUGGGGAAUAUUGCACAAUGGGCGGAAGCCUGAUGCAGCAACGCCGCGUGCGUGAUGACGGCCUUCGGGUUGUGAACCGCUUUCGCCUGUGACGAAGCGUGAGUGACGGUAAUGGGUAAAGAAGCACCGGCUAACUACGUG
Molecule: ribosomal RNA, 468 nt
Filed under: uncultured bacterium
Lineage: Bacteria
Description: partial 16S ribosomal RNA
Rfam family: Bacterial small subunit ribosomal RNA
Source: RNAcentral